Molecule: ribosomal RNA, 492 nt
Filed under: uncultured bacterium
Lineage: Bacteria
Description: partial 16S ribosomal RNA
Rfam family: Bacterial small subunit ribosomal RNA
Source: RNAcentral
AGUGAACGCUGGCGGUAGGCCUAACACAUGCAAGUCGAACGGCAGCACAGUAAGAGCUUGCUCUUACGGGUGGCGAGUGGCGGACGGGUGAGGAAUACAUCGGAAUCUACUUUUUCGUGGGGGAUAACGUAGGGAAACUUACGCUAAUACCGCAUACGACCUACGGGUGAAAGCAGGGGAUCUUCGGACCUUGCGCGAUUGAAUGAGCCGAUGUCGGAUUAGCUAGUUGGCGGGGUAAAGGCCCACCAAGGCGACGAUCCGUAGCUGGUCUGAGAGGAUGAUCAGCCACACGGGAACUGAGACACGGUCCAGACUCCUACGGGAGGCAGCAGUGGGGAAUAUUGGACAAUGGGCGCAAGCCUGAUCCAGCCAUACCGCGUGGGUGAAGAAGGCCUUCGGGUUGUAAAGCCCUUUUGUUGGGAAAGAAGAGCAGCAGGUUAAUACCCCGCUGUUCUGACGGUACCAAAAGAAUAAGCACCGGCUAACUUCGUG